AACGAACGCUGGCGGCAUGCCUAACACAUGCAAGUCGAACGAGACCUUCGGGUCUAGUGGCGCACGGGUGCGUAACGCGUGGGAAUCUGCCCUUGGGUUCGGAAUAACAGUUAGAAAUGACUGCUAAUACCGGAUAAUGUCUUCGGACCAAAGAUUUAUCGCCCAGGGAUGAGCCCCGCGUAGGAUUAGCUAGUUGGUGAGGUAAAGGCUCACCAAGGCGACGAUCCUUAGCUGGUCUGAGAGGAUGAUCAGCCACACUGGGACUGAGACACGGCCCAGACUCCUACGGGAGGCAGCAGUGGGGAAUAUUGGACAAUGGGCGAAAGCCUGAUCCAGCAAUGCCGCGUGAGUGAUGAAGGCCUUCGGUUGUAAAGCUCUUUUGUCCGGGUACGAUGAUGACGGUACCGGAAGAAUAAGCCCCGGCUAACUUCGUGCCAGCAGCCGCGGUAA
RNAcentral lists this ribosomal RNA (450 nucleotides) under uncultured bacterium. Its description in RNAcentral is "bacterial SSU rRNA". It matches the Rfam family "Bacterial small subunit ribosomal RNA", at positions 29 to 523 of the family's 1533-position model. The record is from RNAcentral.